UUAAAUUUAGGCGAUGGAGUUCGCCGGAUUUUUUAUAAAACCGCUAACAUAUCUUUUUAAAGCUGAUAACUCCUACGGUUCU
Molecule: non-coding RNA, 82 nt
Filed under: Candidatus Omnitrophota bacterium
Lineage: Bacteria; Pseudomonadati; Candidatus Omnitrophota
Description: Omnitrophica WOR Fluoride sequence
Rfam family: Fluoride riboswitch aptamer (crcB RNA motif)
Source: RNAcentral